Molecule: ribosomal RNA, 500 nt
Filed under: uncultured bacterium
Lineage: Bacteria
Description: partial 16S ribosomal RNA
Rfam family: Bacterial small subunit ribosomal RNA
Source: RNAcentral
AUUGAACGCUGGCGGCAUGCCUUACACAUGCAAGUCGAACGGCAGCACGGGAGCAAUCCUGGUGGCGAGUGGCGAACGGGUGAGUAAAGUAUCGGAACGUGACCAGUCGUGGGGGAUAACGUAGCGAAAGUUACGCUAAUACCGCAUACGAUCUAUGGAUGAAAGCGGGGGAUCGCAAGACCUCGCGGGAUUGGAGCGGCCGAUGUCAGAUUAGGUAGUUGGUGGGGUAAAGGCUCACCAAGCCGACGAUCUGAAGCUGGUCUGAGAGGACGACCAGAGACAAUGGGACUGAGAGACGGGGCAGGCUCCGACGGGAGGCAGCAGGAGGGAAGUUUGGGGAAUGGGCGAAAGCCUGAUCCAGGCAUGCCGCGUGCAGGAUGAAGGCCUUCGGGUUGUAAACUGCUUUUGUACGGAACGAAAAGGUUUGGCCUAAUAAGCUGAGCUCAUGACGGUACCGUAAGAAUAAGCACCGGCUAACUACGUGCCAGCAGCCGCGGUAA